UCCCUGGUAGUUCAGAUAGUAAAGACUCUGUCUGUAAUGCAGGAGACCCAGGUUCAAUUCCUGGGUAGGGAA
This 72-nucleotide transfer RNA is filed under the name Bos indicus x Bos taurus (hybrid cattle). It matches the Rfam family "tRNA". Rfam says of the family: Transfer RNA (tRNA) molecules are approximately 80 nucleotides in length. Their secondary structure includes four short double-helical elements and three loops (D, anti-codon, and T loops). The record is from Rfam by way of RNAcentral. Lineage: Eukaryota; Metazoa; Chordata; Mammalia; Artiodactyla; Bovidae.